GAAGGUGUGUCGUGAGGCAUGCUGGAGGUAUCAGAAGUGCGAAUGCUGACAUAAGUAACGAUAAAGCGGGUGAAAAGCCCGCUCGCCGGAAGACCAAGGGUUCCUGUCCAACGUUAAUCGGGGCAGGGUGAGUCGACCCCUAAGGCGAGGCCGAAAGGCGUAGUCGAUGGGAAACGGGUUAAUAUUCCCGUACUUGGUGUUACUGCGAAGGGGGGACGGAGAAGGCUAUGUUGGCCGGGCGACGGUUGUCCCGGUUUAAGCGUGUAGGUGUGUGUUCCAGGUAAAUCCGGUUCACUUUAACACUGAGGCGUGACGACGAGGCACUACGGUGCUGAAGCAACAAAUGCCCUGCUUCCAGGAAAAGCCUCUAAGCAUCAGGUAACAUCAAAUCGUACCCCAAACCGACACAGGUGGUCAGGUAGAGAAUACCAAGGCGCUUGAGAGAACUCGGGUGAAGGAACUAGGCAAAAUGGUGCCGUAACUUCGGGAGAAGGCACGCUGACACGUAGGUGAAGUGAUUUACUCAUGGAGCUGAAGUCAGUCGAAGAUACCAGCUGGCUGCAACUGUUUAUUAAAAACACAGCACUGUGCAAACACGAAAGUGGACGUAUACGGUGUGACGCCUGCCCGGUGCCGGAAGGUUAAUUGAUGGGGUCAGCGCAAGCGAAGCUCCUGAUCGAAGCCCCGGUAAACGGCGGCCGUAACUAUAACGGUCCUAAGGUAGCGAAAUUCCUUGUCGGGUAAGUUCCGACCUGCACGAAUGGCGUAAUGAUGGCCAGGCUGUCUCCACCCGAGACUCAGUGAAAUUGAACUCGCUGUGAAGAUGCAGUGUACCUGCGGCAAGACGGAAAGACCCCGUGAACCUUUACUAUAGCUUGACACUGAACAUUGAGCCUUGAUGUGUAGGAUAGGUGGGAGGCUUUGAAGUGUGGACGCCAGUCUGCAUGGAGCCGACCUUGAAAUACCACCCUUUAAUGUUUGAUGUUCUAACGUGGACCCGUUACCCGGGUUGCGGACAGUGUCUGGUGGGUAGUUUGACUGGGGCGGUCUCCUCCUAAAGAGUAACGGAGGAGCACGAAGGUUGGCUAAUCCUGGUCGGACAUCAGGAGGUUAGUGCAAUGGCAUAAGCCAGCUUGACUGCGAGCGUGACGGCGCGAGCAGGUGCGAAAGCAGGUCAUAGUGAUCCGGUGGUUCUGAAUGGAAGGGCCAUCGCUCAACGGAUAAAAGGUACUCCGGGGAUAACAGGCUGAUACCGCCCAAGAGUUCAUAUCGACGGCGGUGUUUGGCACCUCGAUGUCGGCUCAUCACAUCCUGGGGCUGAAGUAGGUCCCAAGGGUAUGGCUGUUCGCCAUUUAAAGUGGUACGCGAGCUGGGUUUAGAACGUCGUGAGACAGUUCGGUCCCUAUCUGCCGUGGGCGCUGGAGAACUGAGGGGGGCUGCUCCUAGUACGAGAGGACCGGAGUGGACGCAUCACUGGUGUUCGGGUUGUCAUGCCAAUGGCACUGCCCGGUAGCUAAAUGCGGAAGAGAUAAGUGCUGAAAGCAUCUAAGCACGAAACUUGCCCCGA
This 1567-nucleotide ribosomal RNA is filed under the name Salmonella enterica subsp. enterica serovar Enteritidis. RNAcentral's name for it is "partial 23S ribosomal RNA". It matches the Rfam family "Bacterial large subunit ribosomal RNA", at positions 1252 to 2802 of the family's 2925-position model. Lineage: Bacteria; Pseudomonadati; Pseudomonadota; Gammaproteobacteria; Enterobacterales; Enterobacteriaceae. The record is from RNAcentral.